GACGAACGCUGGCGGCGUGCUUAACACAUGCAAGUCGAACGGAAAGGCCCUGCUUUUGUGGGGCGCUCGAGUGGCGAACGGGUGAGUAACACGUGAGUAACCUGCCCUUGACUUUGGGAUAACUUCAGGAAACUGGGGCUAAUACCGGAUAGGUGCUCCUGCUGCAUGGUGGGGGUUGGAAAGUUUCGGCGGUUGGGGAUGGACUCGCGGCUUAUCAGCUUGUUGGUGGGGUAGUGGCUUACCAAGGCUUUGACGGGUAGCCGGCCUGAGAGGGUGACCGGCCACAUUGGGACUGAGAUACGGCCCAGACUCCUACGGGAGGCAGCAGUGGGGAAUAUUGCACAAUGGGCGGAAGCCUGAUGCAGCAACGCCGCGUGCGGGAUGACGGCCUUCGGGUUGUAAACCGCUUUCGCCUGUGACGAAGCGUGAGUGACGGUAAUGGGUAAAGAAGCACCGGCUAACUACGUGCCAGCAGCCGCGGUGAUACGUAGGGUGCGAGCGUUGUCCGGAUUUAUUGGGCGUAAAGGGCUCGUAGGUGGUUGAUCGCGUCGGAAGUGUAAUCUUGGGGCUUAACCCUGAGCGUGCUUUCGAUACGGGUUGACUUGAGGAAGGUAGGGGAGAAUGGAAUUCCUGGUGGAGCGGUGGAAUGCGCAGAUAUCAGGAGGAACACCAGUGGCGAAGGCGGUUCUCUGGGCCUUUCCUGACGCUGAGGAGCGAAAGCGUGGGGAGCGAACAGGCUUAGAUACCCUGGUAGUCCACGCUGUAAACGGUGGGUACUAGGUGUGGGGUCCAUUCCACGGGUUCCGUGCCGUAGCUAACGCUUUAAGUACCCCGCCUGGGGAGUACGGCCGCAAGGCUAAAACUCAAAGGAAUUGACGGGGCCCCGCACAAGCGGCGGAGCAUGCGGAUUAAUUCGAUGCAACGCGUAGAACCUUACCUGGGUUUGACAUGGAUCGGGAGCGCUCAGAGAUGGGUGUGCCUCUUUUGGGGUCGGUUCACAGGUGGUGCAUGGCUGUCGUCAGCUCGUGUCGUGAGAUGUUGGGUUAAGUCCCGCAACGAGCGCAACCCUUGUUCACUGUUGCCAGCACGUUAUGGUGGGGACUCAGUGGAGACCGCCGGGGUCAACUCGGAGGAAGGUGGGGAUGACGUCAAGUCAUCAUGCCCCUUAUGUCCAGGGCUUCACGCAUGCUACAAUGGCUGGUACAGAGAGUGGCGAGCCUGUGAGGGUGAGCGAAUCUCGGAAAGCCGGUCUCAGUUCGGAUUGGGGUCUGCAACUCGACCUCAUGAAGUCGGAGUCGCUAGUAAUCGCAGAUCAGCAACGCUGCGGUGAAUACGUUCCCGGG
Molecule: ribosomal RNA, 1343 nt
Filed under: uncultured bacterium
Lineage: Bacteria
Description: 16S ribosomal RNA
Rfam family: Bacterial small subunit ribosomal RNA
Source: RNAcentral